Long non-coding RNA from Poecilia latipinna (sailfin molly), 7047 nucleotides. RefSeq lists it as uncharacterized. The record is from RefSeq and is a predicted model, not a curated record. The transcript is spliced from 2 exons. NCBI's taxonomy places the organism in Eukaryota, Metazoa, Chordata, Actinopteri, Cyprinodontiformes, Poeciliidae.
CUGGGCAAAGCAGGAAGAUUAUUCUUUUUUUAUAUAUAUAUAUAACUUUUGUUUUUUUCUAUCAUUCUCCUACUUUCCAGCAGCUGGGGACCUGUAGCAACUCUCUGACAUCUAAUUCUUUUCCCUAACAUUAAUUCCCUCUCUCCAAGAACUGAAAAAAAGAUUGAUCCUCCCUACUUUUUUGUGUAAUGAUUUAUUUACUGUAUAACAUUUUUUUUUCUCUGCUGUUGCCCUGAUUUGCAUGCUGAGUACCCCUGCAACUCAGUAGGGGAUGUGCUAAAUAAUUUACAUCUUUAAACCAAGUCCCUUAUACAUUCUCUUUUUUUUUAUUCAUUUUGCCAGAUGACUGUCAUCGCAGUCCUAUUCUUCUUGUGUCAGUGUGAUGUCCAUCUCUCGUCUUCUCCGUUUUAAUAUUCUCAGAGAGUUUUCACAGGCUCUCUGCUCUGAAUGCAUGAAGUGUAAGAGGGAAGGAAUGACAGCAGCUAAGAACAACCGUUAAAGCAGGAACAAACUGGAAAUAAUCUUCUUUCUUCUCUUUGCUCUCUGGUUUGUGCUGUCUGUCUUUUGUUGUUCCCCUGUGCUCACUCCUUCACCUCAUUAACCAACACUUUGAUUGUCUCUCUUUGUUUCUUUCUCCCCUGUCUCCUCAGAUCCCAAUGCGCUGGGGCAGCAUGGCACCGACCAUGCCUUGAUUGGAGGAGUGGUGGCUGUAGUGGUCUUUGUCACCUUGUGUUUAAUCAUUGUUCUGGGAAGAUACCUGGCCAGGCAUAAAGGAACAUACUUGACGAACGAAGCCAAAGGAGCGGACGACGCGCCCGAUGCCGACACAGCCAUCAUCAACGCUGAAGGCAACCACGCACACGCAGAAGAAAAGAAGGAAUACUUCAUUUAGACUGCAUAGGGAGCUGUGCUGCUCUCUACCUUUUCUUUCAGUCCCUCUAUUUCUUAUAGUCUCUCUCUCUCUCUUUCUGUCCCCCACUUUCGUCUUCACCUGUGGCCACUGCCCCCCUUGAGUCAACACAGCCCGCAGGCAGAGAUGUUCCCCGAGCUUUUUAUUAUUAUUAUGUCCUCUGGUUCAGCAUUUUCCUGUAUUACAUUUUACCGUUUUUUUGGGGGGUGGGGGGGUUGUCCUUUUUGGGAGAUUUUUUUUAUCUUCCACAUGCAGUUUGAUGCUGCUCCUGAAGCUCUGCCCAUUCUCAUGUUUUUUGCUCGUCUAGUGACACGAACUCCUGGAAAUCUAUAUCUCUGCCAUGGCUGCUUCUUACAUGACCUCUUGUUCACCCUCUUUCCUGUUUCCCACCAAGCAGACACGCUGCCACACGUUGUAUCUCAUGCCCCCCUCACAUAUCUAACGUCAACACGGUGCCUAAAAAUACAGACGCCAUCGAACUUCUUUCAAUGCCUUCAUGUGUCGCCUGUCGGUAGCAAUGUAAAUGCUAUAUGUAGCUCAUUUCAUUGCUUAGUUCACAGCUUUUAAUUAUACAUUGCGUCCUUUUUUAUUUGAAUGAUCUGUGCUGUUUACGCCUUAUACGUGUCUAUCACACUGAAUAUGGUACUUUUAGAUGAACCACUGCGCCUGACCCUCCCAUCCCCUCUGAAUAAACUUGUAAUUAAGCAGUGGACCCUUGUAAGAUAAGACGAAGGUUUUGUGUAACACUGUAGCAAGGUCCGUCAGAUAAGUGUAUAAUAUGAUUUUCACUAUUAGGGUAGGAGUAAUAAGGGUUAGCACGGUGUUGUUUAGAGCAAAGACCCACCAAAAAUAUUUGAAAGAGUAGAUGUGGCUUUUUGCUAAAUCUGCUGUCCCUGUGUACUUUACUCUGUACAUCCCUGCACCGUGCAGACAGCAGCUUAGUGAAACAUGUUAAACCCUAUCUGGACAGCUUACAGUAGUCUGUGUUUUACAUUAACGGUUCAGAUGUACAGAAAGAAAUCUCCACGUCUCAAAAUCUGUAAAAAUUGUAUUGAAAUUCUUUUCACUUUUCACAUUUUAAUAAUUUACUUUCUGUUCAUAUCAUAAUAAAGUCAUUUUGCAGCUAAAAGGCCUCAUGAAAUAUACAGUGAACAAUUUAAGGUUUCUGUAAUAGCAAAAUAAAACCGUAGCAGUGUGUAGAUUUGAGGAUAACACCUCAAAUCUGUAGUUUGAGGUAUUGGGGCAUCGAUAGAUUGAGGUACAGGCAGAAAAGAUAACAUAUUUUGACUAUGUGGGAUACGCUAAUGGACGUCUCUCCAUUGGUUUUCAUCAUAAACAGCUGUAGCACUGGCUGUAAAUCAGUUGUAGUGUCCACCUUUAAUCUUUAGGUUUCAAUUCAAAUAUUCACAUCAUCAGGGUAGAGGUUUUGAUGAUCCAACACGUUGUCUUUUGGUUAAAAGAUGGCUACUAGUUUGCUAGUUCGUCUCAUUUGAUUCAAAGAUUGUACCAUAAAGUUGAUCUAAAACAAAAAGACAGCAGCCUUUCACUUGUGAAUAAUAAAUCCUGUAAUAUAGGAGACAACGAUUUGCAGGAAAAAGCAGUAAUGCACUCCCAUUACUUGCGUCGGUGAGGUCAUCUGGACUUGUGGCUCAUCCUCUAAAACAAGCAUUCUCUUACCUUGCUCAUAUUCUUGAAAUUUAGCCUUGUGGAAAACUGAAGAACAUUAUCAGUUCUUAGUAGGUAACUGAUAAUGAAGUUUGGACUGCCACUGUACAAGUUAUGUUUCACUAGUUUUUAAAGAGCAAACUUAAACUGCAUUAGUCAGUCUUUUUAUUUCCCAUUUAGUCAGUCACCGUUCCAUUUCAUGAGGUCUGAAAGUAAAAAAAUGAAAUUGGAGAGAAAUGUUGAGAGUGCUGGCUAAUACAUCUGCUUGGGUCCCAUUUCCAAAAUGUAAAAACUGGAGGCAAACAGAAAAGCACAAAAUUUGACAGAAUGAGUUACUGUGUUCCUUUGCCAACAACUAAAUUGCCUUGGGAACGAUUCUUUUAAUCUAAAAGGUAAUGGAAAGAUGAAAGUGCAUCUUUUUGAAAAUGUAAGCUAAGUAAUUUUUUUAUAUUAAAAAACUCUAAUAUUGUUGGUUUAAACUGUAUCCCAUUCCCUGUUAUAUAUUGUGUCUGCUAAAAUGUGGUUGACUGUAAAAAAAAAAAAAAUUGCUGUUAAAUUCUGGACUCCUGUAUUCCUUCAAAUGUAUAUUUGCCACUAUUACUUUCAUUUAUAAGACUUUUAAAAAAUUCUGUUUUGUUUUUGUGCAAAGCAUGUACAUAAUGUGUAAGAACAACACUUUGGUACUACACAUUAGCAUGAUUUUUGUUCUUUCUUUUUUUACUUUUAAUUUAUUUAAACUAAAGUUAUUGACCAGAGAAUCACAACGGAAGUACAUUGUUUUGGUACUGCAGGUCUGAAGAAUAAAAUAUUACAAUAACAGUCAAGCUUAAUGAUAAGUCAUAUAAAUAUUGGCACAAAUUGAUGUUAAAACGGCUAUUUAUACGUAACAACAAAAUAAAAUAUAUAAUUGCUUAUAUACCCAUUGCCCAAAAUGAAAACUACAACAUAUUUCAAGAGGAAUCAGCUAAAAUGUUACCUUUAUGUUGGUGGCAAAAAAAUAAUGAUACUCAUUUGAUACUCACUGACCACUUUAUUAGGUGUACUUGUUUAUUCAGUUAACACAAAUACUGCAUAUUCACAUAUACCACAUGGCAAAACUUCUAAACACUUAGAUGUCUUUACAUUGUGAAGACGUCUUUUUGAAGUUCAAACCUAGCAUCAGAAUGAGCAAGAACAUUUUAAUUAGUUUGAACGUGGGGUGGUUGCUGGUGUCAGAUAGGCUGGUCUAAGUAUUUUAGAAAUUGUUGAUCUACAGAGAUUGUCAUACUCAACUUACUGAAUAUUUUGAAAAUGAUUUGCAAAUAGUAUCAUUUGUGUGGAAAAAAAGAUCCCGUCGAUAUCGGUGCAUGGAAAUGAAUGAACAGACUAAUUUGAUAUAGUAGAAAAGCAAAAGUUGCCCAAAUAAUCAGGAAUGCAGAAUAAUAUCUCUGAACACUCAACAUGUUGAGCUUCAAACUUAGAACAGAUGGGCUACAGCAGCAGAAUCCCACACUGGGUUCCACUCCUGUCAGCUAAGAGCUCAAAACUGUGGCUAGAAAUCACAGCUUCACCAAAAUUGGACAAUGGGAGAUUGGAUUGCCUGGUCCAGCAAAUCUCAAUUGCAAUUGCAGUAUUGAGAUGGUAGGAUCAGAAUUGCAUCAAACAACAUGAAAACCAUAGACCUAUUCUGCCUUGCAUUAACAGCUCCGACUGCUGCUGGUAUAAUGUUAUGGGGAUACUUUUUCUUUUCCUCCAUCAAUUCUGUUUUUGUAUUGAUUUAAAGGAGUUUGACUGACUUAGUCUCCUGGAAAAGUGUGAUAAAAACCAACAGCAGUAAUCUACUUGGAUGAAGCAAAUUAUUACCAAGGGCAAUAAAAAAGUAGGCCCUGCUGUCUCCAGUUUCAUGGCCAGUUUACAACUUUAUGCAAACAUGGUUGAAUGGCAAACUGUCUUGCUCUGUACGGCAAUGUUGGACUUCAUAACUGGAGAGAAUCACAUGUUAGAAAUCCUUAGAUCAAUAUCAGCAUAAUUUUUUUCUUGUCACAGUGUAUGUAGGGAUAAAUAUAUUUUUUUUAGGUAUUGUUGAUUAGCACAAUUUUGUUGUUUCACACGUUUGUGCACUUCAACCUUCACCACACGGUUAACAGAUUUAACUUUGUUUUAAAAAGCUCUUGCGGUUAUCUGCCACUCUUUUGCAGAAAAAAUCUUUUAGAUAUAAUGCUCACAUUUUCUGUUGCAUUCCAUCUGUGUACCCAUCUUAGAAAUGAGAAAAGUUAGGACAUGAUAUUUAACAAAAGGUCUGCAGUGAUGAGUUGGUGUUGGCAUUGGAAAAGAAAAGGUGCCAUUUACUGAAUUAUGCACUCUGGCCAUUACAAUUUGAUGGAUAUUUCUUAGUAAAUGUUAAAAUGUGUGUGGGUUUUUUUUUCUUUAGAAACCAACUGUAAAUAUUUGGUUUGAAAUGAAAGUACUGAGUUGAUUUAUUGCAAUGGCUUUUUAUAAUCAAUAGACCAAACUUAAAUCUUGUUCAAUUUUGUUUUGAUUUUUUUUUUUUUGUUUGUUUUUUUUUUUUCUAACAGCUUCGCUCAUGCCACCAUUCACUCCUUUAUUAUACAGAUCCAAUUGUAGCUGGUCCUUUUUUAAUUUCUUCUUUUUUUUUCCUCAUGUUUAACGUUAGUUGAAGAACCUAAGCUUUAAAAAAAAAAAACUAAUUACCCAUUUUAUGUCAGUUUGGUAAGCAAGAUUAUGAGCUUAAAACUCCAUUCUUAAAAUCACAAACUUGUACGAUUGCAAUGCCAUGUUCUUUAAGCGACAGGCUAUUUCUGUCAUUUUUGGUUCUCUAAUUUCCUGGUUUAUAGCAACCCCGUUUUCUUCCGCUGAAGGUGUGCUCGGUGCGGGUGAGGUUGUGCAUUUAUGCAGAUUAAGCAGCACAAUCCUGGCUGCAAUUUUGGCAGGAAAUUGCUCGCAAUUUUAUGACCAAUUUUCACGUUGGCUGGGACGUCUACACACCAGUGCAAAUUUGCAAAAAAAAACACCCUUUUUACCUCUUUUGCUACAGGUCAUGUUGUCUAUAGCCUGCACAGAUUUACAGCCAGGUACAAAAAAGCUGUUUGCCUGAAGUUAAAGAAUUAGAUGAGUUAUCCCAGCAUUAUUUUAUCCACCAGCUGAGAAUUGUCUGUCAAAUAAUCAAACCUGGAGCAGAAUAAUGUUUGCCUGUUUCUGUGUGGGCUUGUAAAAUACACCGGAAAAGGACAAGUUACUCUCUAUUAAAGAGCAGAUGCAGAAUUGUGUUUUGUAAAGAAACUUCAGUCUGCAAAACUGGACAUUAUGAUAAAUGAGCUAGCUCUUUAUUAUUUAUCUGUAUCCGCUUCCUGCCUACCUGCUUCUUUUAUGCAUUGGAUGAAAGCUAAUGUGUUUUUAAAGGGUAAUUUGGCAUUUUUGAAGAGAUGUUUGUGGAUGUUACUAUCAGUAACAGCCCCCAUACCUGUACCAGAUUGAUGUCGUUGGCAAACAAGUUUUCAGAGCAAUGGAAGGACAACAUUUAGUCACACAGUAUGCUUUAGCUAUUUAAGAUCACCCAAAAUAUUUUUUUUUUUUGCAUUUUAGUAAGAUCAGUGCAUACUAAUUAGAUGCAGUUUCACAGUAUCGUCUCUAUUUUAUCAACCAAACAGCUUUCCCGUUGCGACACUGACGUUAUAUUAGUGUAAUCAUUACUAAUUGCUAAAAUAAUGGCCCAUCUUCAGUGUGAGUUCUUAUAAAUUGGUCUAAUUGGUUAAAAUUUUAAGUUUUAAUUUUAACUUAACUUUUAGCAGAACACCACAAGACGGACGUUGGUCUGCUGCAGGUAGGGGAACUAGCACUAACAAUAAUUUCACAGAACGACACAUAAGGAAAUCUGAACUAUCCCUUUAAAAACAUUGCAUUGUUACUGGAGCAAAUCACAUUCUCUUUCUCAAAGUCCCCGCCAUUAUGUAGAUUCGACUCGUAAGCAGUAUAUUGAAUGUUCAUAUUAAUGGAAAAUGUUAUCAAGUCACUAAAGGUUGAGGUGAAAAUGAUAUCUGUUCUGGCUUAGAAUCUGCUUUGUUGACUGGUUUUAAAUAAUUCAGGAUUUUGUUUUGACACAGUUUCCGUGCCCUGUCUGGUUCUCCACAUGCCUUUGCUGUACAGUUUACCUUCAAUCCAGCUCUUUGUUCCUCCUGAAAUAUCAACGCAGACGUCAAUCAGCGCAGUUUCAAUAUCGCCGCAUUGAUCACGUGUGACACAAUCGCAUGUAGUGAUGUGCUGUUAUUUUUAUCAGUUUUGUUUCUUUUGCAUCUCAGGAAUAUAUUUCAUUUAGGAUUUCUUUCCUUUUUUUUUUCUUUUUUUUUUGGUGGUUUCCUGUUUUAAAAUGGGGACAUGUGAGCACUUAUCACUCUACUCGUCCCUGUAUGCUGACACCAUGUAUUUGUUUAAGAUUACCACGAUGUUAAUAAAAUUAUUCAGUGAUUCUUCAGUAA